This 77-nucleotide transfer RNA is filed under the name Clostridiales bacterium. RNAcentral's name for it is "tRNA-Glu". Lineage: Bacteria; Bacillati; Bacillota; Clostridia; Eubacteriales. The record is from RNAcentral.
CGGAACAAACCUUAGUCAGGGGCAAAGGCAGCUGCUUUCAAUUGCUAGGGCGGCGGUUGCAAAUCCGCCUGUUCUUA